AAUGGUGAUUUUUGUUCAAACUGAUUUUGAGUUGUUUGAUAAUCAACUUAAAACUUAUAUUAUUAAUAUAUUUGAAUUUGUUUCUUUAAAAUAUCUAUAAUAUUUAAGAUAAAUUGGUUGAAAGUGGAAGUCAUAUUAUCAAUUAAUAAAAAAUAUAAAAAGUAAAUGAAGAUAUAAAAUUAAAAGCAAGCAUUGAUAUAUUAUAUGAAAUUAAAAUAUAUUAUUAUAUUGCAAAAUUUUGAAACAUUAAAAUAUAUUACAUAACAAUUUAAUAGAAUUUUUUGUUGCAAGUUGUAUCACUUCUUGAAUAUAUAAUAUAGAUAAAAGUAUAAUAUAAGUUACACUCAAUAAAAGAAAAUUCUAAUUUUCUAAAAUAACAAAGGAUGUUUUUUUGUUCCUAUCCCUACAAUGCAUGUAAAUCAAAAGUGAUAACAGAUGAGUUUGAUUCCUCUCCUAUAAUGAAGAAGCUAAUGGAGAGCUCAUAUUUAAAAUUGUAUUAGUUUAAUUUUAAAAAAAAAAACAUGAAAUCAAGGUUUCUCCAUCUUCACUAUGAACCAUCUAGAAACAUAUCACGAUUAACACUAUCUCUUUGUGCAGAUCCCUUCGCUCUCCAUUCUAAUUUAUAGAUUCAAAUUGAAAACCAAUGGAGGUGUCUUUAUAUGAUGUUAGAGAAACAGAUAGAGAAGGACAAACCUUCUGCUUUGAUAUCAAAUACAGUGGCGGUGCUACCUUCUC
Non-coding RNA from Lupinus albus (white lupine), 735 nucleotides. The record is from the annotation of a GenBank genome assembly. Lineage: Eukaryota; Viridiplantae; Streptophyta; Magnoliopsida; Fabales; Fabaceae.